This 2932-nucleotide ribosomal RNA is filed under the name Escherichia coli. RNAcentral describes it as "23S ribosomal RNA". It matches the Rfam family "Bacterial large subunit ribosomal RNA". The record is from RNAcentral. Lineage: Bacteria; Pseudomonadati; Pseudomonadota; Gammaproteobacteria; Enterobacterales; Enterobacteriaceae.
GGGUUGUGAGGUUAAGCGACUAAGCGUACACGGUGGAUGCCCUGGCAGUCAGAGGCGAUGAAGGACGUGCUAAUCUGCGAUAAGCGUCGGUAAGGUGAUAUGAACCGUUAUAACCGGCGAUUUCCGAAUGGGGAAACCCAGUGUGAUUCGUCACACUAUCAUUAACUGAAUCCAUAGGUUAAUGAGGCGAACCGGGGGAACUGAAACAUCUAAGUACCCCGAGGAAAAGAAAUCAACCGAGAUUCCCCCAGUAGCGGCGAGCGAACGGGGAGCAGCCCAGAGCCUGAAUCAGUGUGUGUGUUAGUGGAAGCGUCUGGAAAGGCGCGCGAUACAGGGUGACAGCCCCGUACACAAAAAUGCACAUACUGUGAGCUCGAUGAGUAGGGCGGGACACGUGGUAUCCUGUCUGAAUAUGGGGGGACCAUCCUCCAAGGCUAAAUACUCCUGACUGACCGAUAGUGAACCAGUACCGUGAGGGAAAGGCGAAAAGAACCCCGGCGAGGGGAGUGAAAAAGAACCUGAAACCGUGUACGUACAAGCAGUGGGAGCACAGAGCAAUCUGUGUGACUGCGUACCUUUUGUAUAAUGGGUCAGCGACUUAUAUUCUGUAGCAAGGUUAACCGAAUAGGGGAGCCGAAGGGAAACCGAGUCUUAACUGGGCGUUAAGUUGCAGGGUAUAGACCCGAAACCCGGUGAUCUAGCCAUGGGCAGGUUGAAGGUUGGGUAACACUAACUGGAGGACCGAACCGACUAAUGUUGAAAAAUUAGCGGAUGACUUGUGGCUGGGGGUGAAAGGCCAAUCAAACCGGGAGAUAGCUGGUUCUCCCCGAAAGCUAUUUAGGUAGCGCCUCGUGAAUUCAUCUCCGGGGGUAGAGCACUGUUUCGGCAAGGGGGUCAUCCCGACUUACCAACCCGAUGCAAACUACGAAUACCGGAGAAUGUUAUCACGGGAGACACACGGCGGGUGCUAACGUCCGUCGUGAAGAGGGAAACAACCCAGACCGCCAGCUAAGGUCCCAAAGUCAUGGUUAAGUGGGAAACGAUGUGGGAAGGCCCAGACAGCCAGGAUGUUGGCUUAGAAGCAGCCAUCAUUUAAAGAAAGCGUAAUAGCUCACUGGUCGAGUCGGCCUGCGCGGAAGAUGUAACGGGGCUAAACCAUGCACCGAAGCUGCGGCAGCGACGCUGAUGCGUUGUUGGGUAGGGGAGCGUUCUGUAAGCCUGCGAAGGUGUGCUGUGAGGCAUGCUGGAGGUAUCAGAAGUGCGAAUGCUGACAUAAGUAACGAUAAAGCGGGUGAAAAGCCCGCUCGCCGGAAGACCAAGGGUUCCUGUCCAACGUUAAUCGGGGCAGGGUGAGUCGACCCCUAAGGCGAGGCCGAAAGGCGUAGUCGAUGGGAAACAGGUUAAUAUUCCUGUACUUGGUGUUACUGCGAAGGGGGGACGGAGAAGGCUAUGUUGGCCGGGCGACGGUUGUCCCGGUUUAAGCGUGUAGGCUGGUUUUCCAGGCAAAUCCGGAAAAUCAAGGCUGAGGCGUGAUGACGAGGCACUACGGUGCUGAAGCAACAAAUGCCCUGCUUCCAGGAAAAGCCUCUAAGCAUCAGGUAACAUCAAAUCGUACCCCAAACCGACACAGGUGGUCAGGUAGAGAAUACCAAGGCGCUUGAGAGAACUCGGGUGAAGGAACUAGGCAAAAUGGUGCCGUAACUUCGGGAGAAGGCACGCUGAUAUGUAGGUGAAGUCCCUCGCGGAUGGAGCUGAAAUCAGUCGAAGAUACCAGCUGGCUGCAACUGUUUAUUAAAAACACAGCACUGUGCAAACACGAAAGUGGACGUAUACGGUGUGACGCCUGCCCGGUGCCGGAAGGUUAAUUGAUGGGGUUAGCGCAAGCGAAGCUCUUGAUCGAAGCCCCGGUAAACGGCGGCCGUAACUAUAACGGUCCUAAGGUAGCGAAAUUCCUUGUCGGGUAAGUUCCGACCUGCACGAAUGGCGUAAUGAUGGCCAGGCUGUCUCCACCCGAGACUCAGUGAAAUUGAACUCGCUGUGAAGAUGCAGUGUACCCGCGGCAAGACGGAAAGACCCCGUGAACCUUUACUAUAGCUUGACACUGAACAUUGAGCCUUGAUGUGUAGGAUAGGUGGGAGGCUUUGAAGUGUGGACGCCAGUCUGCAUGGAGCCGACCUUGAAAUACCACCCUUUAAUGUUUGAUGUUCUAACGUUGACCCGUAAUCCGGGUUGCGGACAGUGUCUGGUGGGUAGUUUGACUGGGGCGGUCUCCUCCUAAAGAGUAACGGAGGAGCACGAAGGUUGGCUAAUCCUGGUCGGACAUCAGGAGGUUAGUGCAAUGGCAUAAGCCAGCUUGACUGCGAGCGUGACGGCGCGAGCAGGUGCGAAAGCAGGUCAUAGUGAUCCGGUGGUUCUGAAUGGAAGGGCCAUCGCUCAACGGAUAAAAGGUACUCCGGGGAUAACAGGCUGAUACCGCCCAAGAGUUCAUAUCGACGGCGGUGUUUGGCACCUCGAUGUCGGCUCAUCACAUCCUGGGGCUGAAGUAGGUCCCAAGGGUAUGGCUGUUCGCCAUUUAAAGUGGUACGCGAGCUGGGUUUAGAACGUCGUGAGACAGUUCGGUCCCUAUCUGCCGUGGGCGCUGGAGAAUUGAGGGGGGCUGCUCCUAGUACGAGAGGACCGGAGUGGACGCAUCACUGGUGUUCGGGUUGUCAUGCCAAUGGCACUGCCCGGUAGCUAAAUGCGGAAGAGAUAAGUGCUGAAAGCAUCUAAGCACGAAACUUGCCCCGAGAUGAGUUCUCCCUGACUCCUUGAGAGUCCUGAAGGAACGUUGAAGACGACGACGUUGAUAGGCCGGGUGUGUAAGCGCAGCGAUGCGUUGAGCUAACCGGUACUAAUGAACCGUGAGGCUUAACCUUACAACGCCGAAGCUGUU